GACGAACGCUGGCGGCGUGCCUAGUACAUGCAAGUAGAACGCUGAAGGAGGAGCUUGCUCUUCUGGACGAGUUGCGAACGGGUGAGUAACGCGUAGGUAACCUGCCUGGUAGCGGGGGAUAACUAUUGGAAACGAUAGCUAAUACCGCAUAACAGUAGAUGUUGCAUGACAUUUGCUUAAAAGGUGCAAUUGCACCACUACCAGAUGGACCUGCGUUGUAUUAGCUAGUUGGUGGGGUAACGGCUCACCAAGGCGACGAUACAUAGCCGACCUGAGAGGGUGAUCGGCCACACUGGGACUGAGACACGGCCCAGACUCCUACGGGAGGCAGCAGUAGGGAAUCUUCGGCAAUGGACGGAAGUCUGACCGAGCAACGCGGCGUGAGUGAAGAAGGUUUUCGGAUCGUAAAGCUCUGUUGUAAGAGAAGAACGAGUGUGAGAGUGGAAAGUUCACACUGUGACGGUAUCUUACCAGAAAGGGACGGCUAACUACGUG
RNAcentral lists this ribosomal RNA (495 nucleotides) under uncultured bacterium. RNAcentral describes it as "partial 16S ribosomal RNA". It matches the Rfam family "Bacterial small subunit ribosomal RNA", at positions 28 to 507 of the family's 1533-position model. The record is from RNAcentral.